CGGAUUGUAGUCUGCAACCCGACUACAUGAAGCUGGAAUCGCUAGUAAUCGCGAAUCAGAAUGUCGCGGUGAAUACGUUCCCGGGUCUUGUACACACCGCCCGUCACACCAUGGGAGUCGGAAAUGCCCGAAGUCAGUGACCCAACCGCAAGGAGGGAGCUGCCGAAGGUGGAGCCGGUAACUGGGGUGAAGUCGUAACAAGGUACC
This 207-nucleotide ribosomal RNA is filed under the name uncultured bacterium. Its description in RNAcentral is "partial 16S ribosomal RNA". It matches the Rfam family "Bacterial small subunit ribosomal RNA", at positions 1294 to 1500 of the family's 1533-position model. The record is from RNAcentral.